GACGAACGCUGGCGGCGUGCCUAAUACAUGCAAGUUGAGCGCUUAAGGUUGGUCCUUGUACCAACUGGAUGAGCAGCGAACGGGUGAGUAACGCGUGGGGAAUCUGCCUUUGAGCGGGGGACAACAUUUGGAAACGAAUGCUAAUACCGCAUAAAAACUUUAAACACAAGUUUUAAGUUUGAAAGAUGCAAUUGCAUCACUCAAAGAUGAUCCCGCGUUGUAUUAGCUAGUUGGUGAGGUAAAGGCUCACCAAGGCGAUGAUACAUAGCCGACCUGAGAGGGUGAUCGGCCACAUUGGGACUGAGACACGGCCCAAACUCCUACGGGAGGCAGCAGUAGGGAAUCUUCGGCAAUGGACGAAAGUCUGACCGAGCAACGCCGCGUGAGUGAAGAAGGUUGUCGGAUCGUAAAACUCUGUUGGUAGAGAAGAACGUUGGUGAGAGUGGAAAGCUCAUCAAGUGACGGUAACUACCCAGAAAGGGACGGCUAACUACGUG
This 497-nucleotide ribosomal RNA is filed under the name uncultured bacterium. RNAcentral's name for it is "partial 16S ribosomal RNA". It matches the Rfam family "Bacterial small subunit ribosomal RNA", at positions 28 to 507 of the family's 1533-position model. The record is from RNAcentral.